Molecule: ribosomal RNA, 569 nt
Filed under: Podosphaeraster polyplax
Lineage: Eukaryota; Metazoa; Echinodermata; Asteroidea; Valvatida; Podosphaerasteridae
Description: partial 16S ribosomal RNA
Rfam family: Bacterial large subunit ribosomal RNA
Source: RNAcentral
AGCUCUUUGAAGAUUUUAAAGUAAAUAAAGAGUUUAACCUGCCCAGUGAUAGUAAUUAAAUGGCCGCGGAAAUAUAACCGUGCGAAGGUAGCGUAAUCAUUAGCCUUUUAAAUGGAGGAUGGUAUGAAUGGUUGAACGAGAUUAAACUGUCUCUUUCUUAGGAUCUUGAAAUUAAUUUUCUUGUGAAGAAGCGGGAAUUUAACUAUAGGACGAGAAGACCCUAUCGAGCUUGAGUGAUGUUUUUGGCUGUUAAGAUUGGCAAUGGAUAUUGUUAAGUAAAAUACUAGGUUUAGUUGUUGGCAGUGAGCAAGAAUAUUUAUUUUGGUUGGGGCAAUCACGAAGAAAAUAAAAUCUUUGUAAAAUUUUAAUAUGUAAAAUUGUUUAUUUAAUUUAAAAUAAAGAGAUCCAUUUAGAUAAAUGAAUAAAAGAAUAAGUUACCGUAGGGAUAACAGCGUAAUUUUUUUAGAAAGGCCUUAUUGACAAAGAAGUUUGCGACCUCGAUGUUGGAUCGAGACAUCCUAAAAGUGGAGAAGCUUUUAAGGGUUGGUCUGUUCGACCAUUAAAGUCUU